GAUGAACGCUGGCGGCGUGCCUAAUACAUGCAAGUCGAGCGAACAGAUGAGGAGCUUGCUCCUCUGACGUUAGCGGCGGACGGGUGAGUAACACGUGGAUAACCUCCCUAUAAUACUGGGGUAACUUCGGGAAACCGGAGCUAAUACCGGAUAAUAUAUUGAACCGCAUGGUUCAAUAGUGAAAGACGGUUUUGCUGUCACUUAUAGAUGGAUCCGCGCCGCAUUAGCUAGUUGGUAAGGUAACGGCGUACCAAGGCAACAAUGCGUAGACGACCUGAGAGGGUGAGAGGGCACACGGGAACUGAGACACGGUCCAGACGCCUAGGGGAGGCAGCGGUAGGGAAUCUUCCACAAUGGGCGAAAGCCUGACGGAGCAACGCCGCGUGAGUGAGGAAGGUCUGCGGAUCGUAAAACUCUGUUAUUAGGGAAGAACAAAUGUGUAAGUAACUAUGCACGUCUUGACGGUACCUAAUCAGAAAGCCACGGCUAACUACGUG
This 497-nucleotide ribosomal RNA is filed under the name uncultured bacterium. RNAcentral's name for it is "partial 16S ribosomal RNA". It matches the Rfam family "Bacterial small subunit ribosomal RNA", at positions 28 to 507 of the family's 1533-position model. The record is from RNAcentral.